AGCAGCCGCGGUAAUUCCAGCUCCAAUAGCGUAUAUUAAAGUUGUUGCAGUUAAAAAGCUCGUAGUUGAAUUUCGGGAUCAAUUUGCAGGUCGUGCCUUCGGUACGCACUGGUAUUAUUGGUUUCUCCUUUCUGAUGAAUCGCGAUGUCAUUAAUUUGGUGUCGUGGGGAAUCAGGACCGUUACUUUGAAAAAUUAGAGUGUUUAAAGCAGGCUCACGCUUGAAUACAUUAGCAUGGAAUAAUGAAAUAGGACGUUUGAUUCUAUUUUGUUGGUUUCUAGGAUCGACGUAAUGAUUAAUAGGGAUAGUUGGGGGCAUUAGUAUUCAAUUGUCAGAGGUGAAAUUCUUGGAUUUAUUGAGGACUAACUACUGCGAAAGCAUUUGCCAAGGAUGUUUU
This 396-nucleotide ribosomal RNA is filed under the name uncultured Glomeromycotina. Its description in RNAcentral is "SSU rRNA". It matches the Rfam family "Eukaryotic small subunit ribosomal RNA", at positions 569 to 970 of the family's 1831-position model. The record is from RNAcentral. Lineage: Eukaryota; Fungi; Glomeromycota.